GGACUGAGGCUUCAGUGUGUUAGUAGAACAGGUUAGUGAACUCAGGACCAGCUGGAUGAGGGGACUGAGGCUUCAGUGUGUUAGUAGAACAGGUUUGUGAACUCAGGACCAGCUGGAUGAGGGGACUGAGGCUUCAGUGUGUUAGUAGAACAGGUUUGUGAACUCAGCCCCAGGACCAGCUGGAUGAGGGGACUGAGGCUUCAGUGUGUUAGUAGAACAGGUUUGUGAACUCAGCCCCAGGACCAGCUGGAUGAGGGGACUGAGGCUUCAGUGUGUUAGUAGAACAGGUUUGUGAACUCAGCCCCAGGACCAGCUGGAUGAGGGGACUGAGGCUUCAGUGUGUUAGUAGAACAGGUUUGUGAACUCAGCCCCAGGACCAGCUGGAUGAGGGGACUGAGGCUUCAGUGUGUUAGUAGAACAGGUUUGUGAACUCAGCCCCAGGACCAGCUGGAUGAGGGGACUGAGGCUUCAGUGUGUUAGUAGAACAGGUUUGUGAACUCAGCCCCAGGACCAGCUGGAUGAGGGGACUGAGGCUUCAGUGUGUUAGUAGAACAGGUUUGUGAACUCAGCCCCAGGACCAGCUGGAUGAGGGGACUGAGGCUUCAGUGUGUUAGGAGAACAGGUUAGUGAACUCAGGACCAGCUGGAUGAGGGGACUGAGGCUUCAGUGUGUUAGUAGAACAGGUUUGUGAACUCAGCCCCAGGACCAGCUGGAUGAGGGGACUGAGGCUUCAGUGUGUUAGUAGAACAGGUUUGUGAACUCAGCCCCAGGACCAGCUGGAUGAGGGGACUGAGGCUUCAGUGUGUUAGUAGAACAGGUUAGUGAACUCAGGACUAGCUGGAUGAGGGGACUGAGGCUUCAGUGUGUUAGUAGAACAGGUUAGUGAACUCAGGACCAGCUGGAUGAGGGGACUAUUU
This is a long non-coding RNA of Oncorhynchus keta (chum salmon), 917 nucleotides long. RefSeq lists it as uncharacterized. NCBI's taxonomy places the organism in Eukaryota, Metazoa, Chordata, Actinopteri, Salmoniformes, Salmonidae. The record is from RefSeq and is a predicted model, not a curated record. The transcript has 6 exons.